Molecule: ribosomal RNA, 450 nt
Filed under: uncultured bacterium
Lineage: Bacteria
Description: bacterial SSU rRNA
Rfam family: Bacterial small subunit ribosomal RNA
Source: RNAcentral
GUGGGGAAUAUUGGACAAUGGGCGAAAGCCUGAUCCAGCCAUGCCGCGUGUGUGAAGAAGGUCUUCGGAUUGUAAAGCACUUUAAGUUGGGAGGAAGGGCAGUAAGUUAAUACCUUGCUGUUUUGACGUUACCGACAGAAUAAGCACCGGCUAACUUCGUGCCAGCAGCCGCGGUAAUACGAAGGGUGCAAGCGUUAAUCGGAAUUACUGGGCGUAAAGCGCGCGUAGGUGGUUCAGCAAGUUGGAGGUGAAAUCCCCGGGCUCAACCUGGGAACUGCCUCCAAAACUACUGGGCUAGAGUACGGUAGAGGGUAGUGGAAUUUCCUGUGUAGCGGUGAAAUGCGUAGAUAUAGGAAGGAACACCAGUGGCGAAGGCGACUACCUGGACUGAUACUGACACUGAGGUGCGAAAGCGUGGGGAGCAAACAGGAUUAGAAACCCCUGUAGUCC